UAAAAGUUUUAUUUUAGCUUAAAAAUUGAUUUUUAUUUUUAUUUAUAUGUAAAUUAUAGUGUAAAAUAUAAAGAUUUAAAUAAUUAUUUAAAGUGAUCGCAGUAAAUAAAAUUAAAAUUUAAAGAAAUUUAGAUUUAGAAAUUAUAUUUAAUAUAAACAAAAUUUGUGCCAGCAGUUGCGGUUAUACAAAUUAUGUAAGUUAAUUUGUUUAUAAUUUAAUUAGUUUUGUAAUUAUUUAAUUUUAAAAAUAAAAUUAUUGGGUGAAAUUUUAAUUUUAUUUAAAAAUUUAUAUUGUUUAUGAUUUAAUAAAUUUAAAAGUUAAACUAGGAUUAGAUACCCUAUUAUUUUAAAAUUAAAUUAGUUAAAUUUGGAUUAUUAAUAGUUAUGAUCUUUAAAAUUAAAAAUUUUGGCGGUAUUUUAAUCUAUUCAGAGGAAUCUGUUUUUUAAUUGAUAUUCCACGAUUUAAUUUACUUAUAUUAUAUUUGUAUAUCGUUGUAAUUUGAAUAUUUUAUAAGAAUUUAAAUAUUCAAAAAAUUUUUUUAAUUAUAAGUCAGAUCAAGAUGCGGUUUAUAUAUAAGUUAAAAUGGAUUACAUUAAUUUUAAUUUGAUAAUUAAAUUUUUAAAAUUUAAUGAAAUUGGAUUUGAAAGUAAUUUAAUUUAAAUUUUUUAAAUGAUUAAGUUCUAAAAUAUGUACAUAUUGCCCGUCGCUUUCAUUUAAAAUGAAAUAAGUCGUAACAAAGUAGAUAUACUGGAAAGUGUGUCUAGAAAGAA
Molecule: non-coding RNA, 771 nt
Filed under: Pediacus ater
Lineage: Eukaryota; Metazoa; Arthropoda; Insecta; Coleoptera; Cucujidae
Source: RNAcentral